Long non-coding RNA from Larimichthys crocea (large yellow croaker), 859 nucleotides. RefSeq lists it as uncharacterized. The record is from RefSeq and is a predicted model, not a curated record. NCBI's taxonomy places the organism in Eukaryota, Metazoa, Chordata, Actinopteri, Sciaenidae. The transcript has 2 exons.
UUUUUACAUUGUCUUUUGUGAGUGCACCGUCUACAGGAGGUGAUGGUGCCGCUCUUUACAGGAGGUGAUGGUGCCCUCCUGUACAGGAGGUGAUGGUGCCGCUCUUUACAGGAGGUGAUGGUGCCGCCCUGUACAGGAGGUGAUGGUGCCCUCCUGUACAGGAGGUGAUGGUGCUGCUCUUUACAGGAGGUGAUGGUGCCGCCCUGUACAGGAGGUGAUGGUGCCAACCUUUACAGGAGGUGAUGGUGCCAACCUUUACAGGAGGUGAUGGUGCCGUCCUGUACUGGUGGUGAUGGUGCCAACCUUUACAGGAGGUGAUGGUGCCAACCUUUACAGGAGGUGAUGGUGCCGACCUUUACAGGAGGUGAUGGUGCCGUCCUGUACUGGUGGUGAUGGUGCCAACCUUUACAGGAGGUGAUGGUGCCAACCUUUACAGGAGGUGAUGGUGCCGUCCUGUACUGGUGGUGAUGGUGCCAACCUUUACAGGAGGUGAUGGUGCCAACCUUUACAGGAGGUGAUGGUGCCGUCCUGUACUGGUGGUGAUGGUGCCAACCUUUACAGGAGGUGAUGGUGCCAACCUUUACAGGAGGUGAUGGUGCCGUCCUGUACAGGUGGUGAUGGUGCUGCUCUUUACAGGAGGUGAUGGUGCCGUCCUGUACAGGUGGUGAUGGUGCCAGCUGGCCAUCAUGCAUCAGGGGAGAAGGCAAACCAGCGAACACGUUCAGACGCAGCAGGUGAAGCUGUGUGGGCUCUGUCUGUCGCUGUCGUCCUGCCAGUUGUAAAAUAUUUUAUCUUGUGCAAUCGAUGCGUUUUAUUUUCUGUUUGUUUCAAUAAAUCACCGGCAUCAUUCUUCAGUCAA